This is a long non-coding RNA of Anas platyrhynchos (mallard), 1973 nucleotides long. RefSeq lists it as uncharacterized. The record is from RefSeq and is a predicted model, not a curated record. NCBI's taxonomy places the organism in Eukaryota, Metazoa, Chordata, Aves, Anseriformes, Anatidae.
UCUGCCUGAACAUCACAGCUGUGCAUUCAGCCUCUGCCAAACCUCAUUGCAUUGUCCCCAGCAUGACUGCAAGUGAAGAAAAAUCACUCACAGCACAUAAUAUGCAGUAAAAUCCUGCAGGAAUUUAAUGCCCUUUAUUAAUUACCCUUCAAAAGUAUUUCAAAGUUAAGUUUACUAAGAAUCCUUUUCUCAGUCAGACCUUUCCUAAAAUCAGGUAAAUUUACAAACCCACAAACCUCAGUUGGGAUUUUUCAUGUCCUGAUGCUUGCUUUCACACCUCUCUGGUCUCACUGGCAGUGGCUGCACAUUGAGGUGCACAGGACUUUUCCUCUUGGGAACACAGCCAAGAAAAUGUCAACUAGCAAGUACAGAGAAGCAGCAAAAGACUGUGCUUUUCAAGACAGAAGUCAGUGAGUUGGACACUGCCAAGUCUGAACCCUGUACCAAGCACACACAAAAAUUUGACCCAACUGCCAGCAAACUAAGAUUCCUUUGGUGUGUUCUGCUGAGAUUCCAUUACUGCCUUUAUCAUUAAGAAAAUAAUGUAAUAAAAUGAGACCUUUUCCCUGAAUGCAUUAAUAAAGAUAACUUGUUGGUCAAGCUCCAAAACCACUGGAGCCACAUUUAAUUUACUGCUUUUAUGGAUUUAGGAUUUGGUUUGCUGCUAUGUUCAGUCCACUGCAACAAUAUAAUGGGAAAUUGUAAUGGCAUGUUUAAAAGAAAGGGUUCAUAAUCUAUCACUGAAGCUUUAAAAUGUCUUGUGCAAACAUCCACAAUUAAAUGCUACCAAAAAUGGUCAUUUCACAUGGUUUCACCGCAGCUCACCAAAGGAGGAGGGGAGGAAAGACCCAAAUAAUCAUCAAUAUAGCUUUUUGUGCUAGUCACCUUCUAACAGCCUGGGGAAGAGAACUGCUAAAAGAACUGUAAAGGUUUGCAACCCCACUGCUGCUUCUCAUAUUAAGAGCAUCUGUGCAUUACUUCAUAAAAUAUCAGAUGACAUACUGCCUUAUUUCCAAUCAAUAAAAAUAACAAUAUGUUAUGCAAAGGUCCUUCUGAUGUCUUAUAAAUAGUUGUUCAGAAGGGCAUUGGUCUUUUGUCAGUGCCUAGUUCAGGUGGUGGAGACCUUUCCACCAACCAACACAUAAAACAUGAGAAAACAAGAGCACCUGUGGAGUGCAGGUCCAUAGGCCUGACACGUGGUGACAGGGAUAAAGAUGGCACCAAAGCCCUGUAGUCCAUCAACCUCUGCACAAGAAAAGUCCAGUUUCUUAAGGGCCAGAUUCUGCACUUCUCACACUGAGCAGGAACUACUCCAACAGCUGCCUUCAUGUGGGCUUGCUGCUGCCUUGUGAUGUGAGAAUAAUGAGGAAAGCUGCUGAGUUUUGGCUUAUUUGAAUCAAAAAGGCUCUGGUGCAGACAGAGCCACCUCUUCCUCCUGCUCUGGUUUGAGGAGAAGAUGGCGACAGGACAAACUUGCUUUCCACACUGCUGAGCAGGCUGCUGCUGGUGUGGCUGUGAUGUAAUCCAGCCCCGGGUGAAGAAAAAUAAAAGCUCCUGAUGGAAAAUGAACACCAAACCCACUCAGUUCCUUUGGAUUUAUUUUAAGAUUGUGGGUUUCAGUAAAGAAUGUCUGACAAAUUCUUUCAAAUUGUCCUAGGAAAUGUGCCCGUCUCUUCACUUGGGGGCAAGAGAGGAAGGAAUUUGCCAUCUUCAUUUUACCACUGUGAUUGAUUAAAUGCCUCAUAGGUAGUGCUGGACAAAGGCAUUCUGAAAUUCAGGUGGCAAAAGAAGUGCUUUGUUUAGAAAAUGUGACUGGUACAGAGCCUUUCUCUAGCUGCAGAUUUAAACAAAUACAUUGUUUUUUAUUUGCGUUCGGCAGUUUCCAUUUGUGCAGCUUUUGCCAGAAGACUGAAGAGGUCUGUGAUGUGUAAUUUACUGCUCAGUGAUUUUAAAGAUGAAUGUUUGGACUCUCA